This 253-nucleotide ribosomal RNA is filed under the name uncultured bacterium. Its description in RNAcentral is "partial 16S ribosomal RNA". It matches the Rfam family "Bacterial small subunit ribosomal RNA", at positions 524 to 776 of the family's 1533-position model. The record is from RNAcentral.
UACGUAGGUGACCAGCGUUGUCCGGAUUUACCGGGCGUAAAGAGCGCGCAGGCGGUCGUUCAAGUCGAGUGUGAAAGCCCCCGGCUCAACUGGGGAGGGUCACUCGAUACUGAUCGACUUGAAGGCAGGAGAGGGAAGCGGAAUUCCCGGUGUAGUGGUGAAAUGCGUAGAUAUCGGGAGGAACACCAGUGGCGAAGGCGGCUUCCUGGCCUGUUCUUGACGCUGAGGCGCGAAAGCUAGGGGAGCAAACGGG